CAUAGGACGGCCGCAGGGAAUGGGGCCAGCGGCUAAAGUUCUUCGCGCUCAUGGAUGUCUCUUGUUUCCCGGUUUGGCUCCUCCGACCAUAGUCAAGUAUGACGGCUGGGAGGUCCAGCUUUAUAGAGUAGAGAGAUUUUGCCAGAAAGCUUACAAAAAUACCGUCCUAGGCUUGGUGCUGGCGAGGACGCCGGGGUUGUGAUGUGGACUGAGCCGCCUAGCGGCCUGGGUAGAGCCCAGUCAGGGCCGAGCUUCCGGCCGAGCACCGGGGGCUCACACCUCGGGGCUCGUACACUGUGUCUUCGUGGUGGACAGAGUUUGCUUUGCUUUCUGCCAAUCACACCGUUGGGACCUAUCUGAACCGUUUUCUGUAUCUUUGCUCCUGCUGUCUCGGAACAGUCUGAACAUCCUGCCCCGGGAGCAUGACAGUUGUUUGACUACAAACCUGGAGAUAAGAAGGAGGGCUGUGUAAUGAUAGUUGAACCUGGGGUCAAAAGAGCUGCUUCCAAACUUAACGUUGAGAAGGAAGUCCCCUGUGGAGUGUUCUUUGCUCUGUAAGCCUAUGAAUCUGCUGAGACCGGUCUAUUUUCGAUGCCUCUGAAAACCUGUCUGUAACUGAGCCAGGCCUGUGCUCCCUUUGAGGGGAAAUUUCUGUGAUCUCCAAACACUGGCAUUAAAGCUGUUCUCUUUCCCUGUCUUUGCCACCUACCACUGCUUCUUAAUUCCUUCCCCCGCGUCCCCCGCCGUUUUAAAAAAACUUACCAAGCUGGGCUUCUGAAACAUUGUGCAAAAGGCCUUCAUGAACUUGUGGACACAGAAUUGAAUAACAAAAAACCGAAAUCGGAAAAUGUGAUGCCCCCAGGGAAGAUGGUGGUUAUGGAUGGAACCUCAUCACAUAUUCAGAGUGCCCUGGAUUUCAUCAAUAUCUCCAGCUGACUCAUCCUGCUGAAAGAGGCUGGAGAAGGACCAGGGACGAUACUGUGAAUGCUGUCUCAGAGCUGUGGGGAAGAAAUGAGCGGCACUUCUUGCUUAGGGUCCCGGAGUCAUGACUUUCUGAUUAAUGCUCUCAACACCUAGCGAAUCAGCACCAGCACUGCGCUCUGUGAGGGGCGGACAUGAACGUCAUUCCAGGAAGAGAUUCAGAAUGAAAACAUUGAAUGGUCAUUCUGGCUGCUACGUUGACAACGGACUGCAGGGGGCCAGGGAAGACCAGUGAGUGGUCUGGGGAAGCUGUCCAGGAGAGGGGUGAGGGCGGUUCAGACCAGGAUGGCAGCAGCGGUAGUGGAGAGAAGCAGGUAGGUUCUGGUUAUAAUUGUAAAGCUGAAGACAGAGUCCACAGGAUCUGCUGCUACUUGGAUUUGGGAUGUAAAAUAAAGAGAGGAGUCCAGGGUGCCAGCCCUUCUCAGUAGCACCUGCCAAGGGUCUCCAGAGGUUCCUUUUUCUGUACCUGCAGACCCUCCCCUCCCUGAGUCCCAGGAGACCUCUCUCCUUCCACCUGCUGGCCUCCCCACAGCUUGGCUUGACCUUCUGAGAUCAGGGUUGGAAAUGCCCAGGACACAUUUGGAGCCUAUUGGGACAUCCUGGGUGAAGCCUUAAAGAAGAUAGAGCAAGGAGGAUGAAGAAAAUUUCCAGGCUUUGGGUGCAGAGAUGUGCAUAGUUCUUUUUUUUUUUUAAUUGAAUUACAGUCAGUUACAAUGUGUCUAUUUCUGGUGUACACCAUAAUGUCCCAGUCAUGCAUAUAUAUAUAUAUACAUAUAUUCGUUUUCAUAUUCUUUUUCAUUAAAGGUUAUUACAAGAUAUUGAAUAUAGUUCCCUGUGCUAUAAAGAAGAAAUUUGUCUUUUUAUCUGUUUUUAAAUAUAGUGGUUAACAUUUGCAAAUCUCAAACUUCCAAAUUUAUC
Molecule: long non-coding RNA, 1899 nt
Organism: Camelus dromedarius (Arabian camel)
Lineage: Eukaryota; Metazoa; Chordata; Mammalia; Artiodactyla; Camelidae
Exons: 3
Source: RefSeq, a predicted model, not a curated record